RNAcentral lists this ribosomal RNA (468 nucleotides) under uncultured bacterium. Its description in RNAcentral is "partial 16S ribosomal RNA". It matches the Rfam family "Bacterial small subunit ribosomal RNA", at positions 28 to 507 of the family's 1533-position model. The record is from RNAcentral.
GACGAACGCUGGCGGCGUGCUUAACACAUGCAAGUCGAACGGAAAGGCCCUGCUUUUGUGGGGUGCUCGAGUGGCGAACGGGUGAGUAACACGUGAGUAACCUGCCCUUGACUUUGGGAUAACUUCAGGAAACUGGGGCUAAUACCGGAUAGGGGCUCCUGCUGCAUGGUGGGGGUUGGAAAUUUUCGGCGGGUGGGGAUGGACUCGCGGCUUAUCAGCUUGUUGGUGGGGUAGUGGCUUACCAAGGCUUUGACGGGUAGCCGGCCUGGGAGGGUGACCGGCCACAUUGGGACUGGGAUACGGCCCAGACUCCUCCGGGAGGCAGCAGUGGGGAAUAUUGCACAAUGGGCGGAAGCCGGAUGCAGCAACGCCGCGUGCGGGAUGACGGCCUUCGGGUGGUAAACCGCUUUCGCCUGUGACGAAGCGUGAGUGACGGUAAUGGGUAAAGAAGCACCGGCUAACUACGUG